AAAGACUGCAGUUUUGCACUAUUUAUAUCUACUGUUUGAUUGUCCGUCUUAUUUAAAAGUCUUAUUUAAAAUUUUUUUAUGAUUAGUAUUUUUGUUGUUAUUAGAUGAUAAAACAUGAAUAUUACUUUAUAUGUGACUAUUUUUUAUGUUUUUUAAAAUAAGACGGACGGUCAAAUGUUGGACAUGAAAUUUUCAUAACUGCACUUAAA
Molecule: non-coding RNA, 209 nt
Organism: Oryza barthii
Lineage: Eukaryota; Viridiplantae; Streptophyta; Magnoliopsida; Poales; Poaceae
Source: Rfam